RNAcentral lists this ribosomal RNA (485 nucleotides) under uncultured bacterium. RNAcentral describes it as "partial 16S ribosomal RNA". It matches the Rfam family "Bacterial small subunit ribosomal RNA", at positions 30 to 507 of the family's 1533-position model. The record is from RNAcentral.
AUUGAACGCUGGCGGCAGGCUUAACACAUGCAAGUCGAGCGGGGAAAGGUAGCUUGCUACCUGACCUAGCGGCGGACGGGUGAGUAAUGCUUAGGAAUCUGCCUAUUAGUGGGGGACAACAUCUCGAAAGGGAUGCUAAUACCGCAUACGUCCUACGGGAGAAAGCAGGGGACCUUCGGGCCUUGCGCUAAUAGAUGAGCCUAAGUCGGAUUAGCUAGUUGGUGGGGUAAAGGCCUACCAAGGCGACGAUCUGUAGCGGGUCUGAGAGGAUGAUCCGCCACACUGGGACUGAGACACGGCCCAGACUCCUACGGGAGGCAGCAGUGGGGAAUAUUGGACAAUGGGGGGAACCCUGAUCCAGCCAUGCCGCGUGUGUGAAGAAGGCCGUUUGGUUGUAAAGCACUUUAAGCGAGGAGGAGGCUACCGAGAUUAAUACUCUUGGAUAGUGGACGUUACUCGCAGAAUAAGCACCGGCUAACUCUGUG